This 26-nucleotide non-coding RNA is filed under the name Mus musculus (house mouse). Lineage: Eukaryota; Metazoa; Chordata; Mammalia; Rodentia; Muridae. The record is from RNAcentral.
UGUGACAGACCUUACGCCAAUGGAGA